UUCUAGCUCGAGCUGUUUACUCGUUUGG
Molecule: non-coding RNA, 28 nt
Filed under: Rattus norvegicus (Norway rat)
Lineage: Eukaryota; Metazoa; Chordata; Mammalia; Rodentia; Muridae
Source: RNAcentral